UUUUUUUUUUUUUUUGCAGAUCACAGAACUUUUAUUUAGAUGGAAUCACUGCGAAUUACAUAGAAGCUACCAGCCUAAGCCAAAACCCACGAGGUUCAUGUGAACUUACAGUUACACAAAUAAGAAACAAAUGGUACAUCCGAAACCAUAAGGAAAUAUUUCUCCAACUGCUCGCAUUGCUCUCUCACUGUUGUUAGGGGAUCCACUAAUUCCUCCUCUUCCUCUUCCUCCUCCUCAGGAUCUCCGGAUUCGGUAAGCAUCUUUUGCUCGUCCUCCAGUCCCAUGUCUGGCUACGGUUCUAGAUUUAACACGAGCAGCAACAGCGGCACCUCAAUUUUUGUAUUUUUAGUAGAGAUGGGGUUUCACCAUGUUGGCCAGGCUGGUCUCAAACUCUUGGCCACAGGUGCUCCGCCACUGAAAGUGCUGGGAUUACAGGUGUGAGCCACCGUUCCCGGCCAGAAACUUCUCUUUAUCCUGAGCUCUUAACAAUCAUCUCCUAUAAUUUCCUGAAAGUAUUAAAGUGUCACUUUCAGCUGGGCGAGGUGGCUCAAGCCUGUAGUCCCAGCACUUUGGGAGGCCGAGGAGGGCGGAUCACUUGAAUCCAGAAGUUCAAGAUCAGGCUGGGCAACAUGGUGAAACCGCAUCUCUACCAAAAAUACAAAAAUUAGUCAGGUGUGGUGGUGGGCCCCUGUAGUCCCAGCUAUUUGGGAGGCUGAUGUGGGAGGAUAGUUUGAGCCUGGGAGGCAGAGAUCACAGUGAGCAGAGAUCAUGUCACUGUACUCCAGUCUGGGUGACAGAGAGAGACCCUGUCUUAAAAUAAAAUAAAAUAAAAAAUAAAGUGUUGCUUUCAUAUUUAAUAUCUUGACUUUUUUUUUUUUUUUGAGCUGGAGUCUCGCUCUGUCACCUGGCUGGAGAGCAGUGGUGCGAUCUUGGCUCACUGCAACCUCUACCUCCCAGGUUCAAGCGAUCCUCCUGUCUCAGCCUCCCAAGUUUGCUCACUAGUUCAUCCUUUGCCCCCAGUCAGCAAAGUCAUGUGUGUGGUGCCUCAAGUUUCCGUAGUGGUGUGGAUCUGCAGUGGGGCUGCUUUUCCUGACCUAUUGGCCAGGCUUACCUUUCUGUAAUUAAUUGUUUGUUUGUUUUUUGAGACAGAGUCUUGCUCUGUCACCCCGGCUGGAGUUUAGUGGCGUGUUCUCGGCUCACUGCAACCUCCACCUUCCAGACUCAAGCGAUUCUUGUGCCUCACCCUUCCGAGUACCUGAGACUACAGGCAUGCGCCACCACGCCCAGCUAAUGUUUUGUAUUUUUAGUAGAUACAGGGUUUCACCAUGUUUGACCAGGCUGGUCUCAAACUCCUGAGCUCAGGCAAUCUGCCCGCCUUGGCCUCCCAAAGUGCCAGGAUUACAGGCGUGAGGCACUGCACCUGGCCACCUUUCUGUAAUUAAUACUGAUAGUUUGUGUAAUACAUUUUAUUUUUCCAUGGAAAACACGCACACACACACGCACGCACACUACUGUCAAGAAAAACUCUGAGGCUCAUUCACCCAGAUUUGUGAUUGUUAACUGGUGUUAAAAUGAUGUCACCUGGAGGCUUUUUUGAAUUUAUCAGGACUCACACUUAAUGCAAAAGGAAGAAAGCUCUCUCAGGUGAGACAGCCAUGGAGUGGGAGGGUGCAGGAGGAGGCCAACAUCAUCAGCAAGGAUCCCCUGCAAACAUGCCGCCCAGGAGGCAAGGCCUGUUUGGCAUGUAGACCAGUCCUAGUCCACAGGCAUGAUCCACCGCACCUGGCCUGAGACUCCAUCUCCACAAAAAAAAAAAAAAAAAAAAAUUAGCCAGGCAUGGAGUGGGCGCACCUCCUCGGGAGGAUGAGGUAGGAGGAUAGGUUGAGGCCAGGAGUUCAAGGCUGCAAUGAGCUAUGGUGGUGUCACUGCACUCCAGCCUGGGUGACAGAGCAAAAUCUUGUCUCCAGAAAUAAAUAAAUUAAAAUAAAAUUGCAUAAGAUUAUAUUCUAAGUAGGCCGGGCGCAGUGGCUCACACCAGUAAUCCCAGCACUUUGGGAGAGUGAGGCGGGUGGAUCACGAAGUCAGGAGAUCAAGACCAUCCUGGUUAACAUGGUGAAAUCCCGUCUCUACUAAAAAUACAAAAAAUUAGGCGGGCGUGGUGACCGCACCUGUAGUCCCAGCUACUCGGGAGGCCGAAGCAGGAGAAUCGCUUGAAAUGGGAGGCAGAGGUUGCAGUGAGCUGAGAUUGUGCCACUGCACGCCAGCCUGGGCAACAGAGCGAGACGCUGUCUCAAAAAAAAAAAAGUUAUAUCGGAAGUACUGCCUGAAACUAUUCAGUCCAGAAGUCAGAAGCUUUGGGCUUGGGCCAAAUCUAGCAUACUGCCUAUUUUACUGAUGGCCUGGGAACUAAGAAUGGCUUUUAUAUCUUUUAAAAGGCUAAAAAAAAAAAAUGACCGGCGCAGUGGCUCAUGUCUGUAAUCCCAACACUUUGGAAGUUCAAAGUGGGCGGAUCACCUGAGGUCAGGAGUUCAAGACCAGCCUGACCAACAUGGUGAAACCUCGUCUCUACCAAAAAUACAAAAAUUACCCAGGUGUGGCCAGGCGCGGUGGCACAUGCCUGUAAUCCCAGCACUUUGGGAGGCUGAGGCGGGUGGAUCACGAGGUCAGGAGAUCAAGACCAUCCUGGCUAACACAG
RNAcentral lists this long non-coding RNA (2695 nucleotides) under Homo sapiens (human). Its description in RNAcentral is "HSALNT0002156". Lineage: Eukaryota; Metazoa; Chordata; Mammalia; Primates; Hominidae. The record is from RNAcentral.